Jaculus jaculus (lesser Egyptian jerboa) is the source of this 107-nucleotide small nuclear RNA. The record is from Ensembl. Lineage: Eukaryota; Metazoa; Chordata; Mammalia; Rodentia; Dipodidae.
GUGCUCGCUUCGGCAGCACAUACACUAAAAUUGGAAUGAUGUGGAGAAGAUUAGCACGGCCCCUGUGCAAGAAUGACAUGCAAAUUCAUGAAGCGUUCUAUGUAAAA